AGUCCCGUAGUGAAAUUCACAUAAAAUUGCAAAUUUUAAAAUGCAGGGUCAAACCUGCCGGGACUU
Molecule: transfer RNA, 66 nt
Filed under: Indotyphlus maharashtraensis
Lineage: Eukaryota; Metazoa; Chordata; Amphibia; Gymnophiona; Indotyphlidae
Description: tRNA-Cys
Rfam family: tRNA
About the family: Transfer RNA (tRNA) molecules are approximately 80 nucleotides in length. Their secondary structure includes four short double-helical elements and three loops (D, anti-codon, and T loops).
Source: RNAcentral